UGGGAGGGCAGAUACCUGGACAGUGCUGAGCAGUGCUCUGUCCACCACUAGCUCUCCCCACAGCAUACCGUACAUGCUCUCUGAUGACUAGGGUGAAUAGAGAGAAAUCGCCAUGGACAGAUACGGGGCAGACACCA
Non-coding RNA from Engraulis encrasicolus (European anchovy), 137 nucleotides. RefSeq annotates it as small Cajal body-specific RNA 8. The transcript has a single exon. The record is from RefSeq and is a predicted model, not a curated record. NCBI's taxonomy places the organism in Eukaryota, Metazoa, Chordata, Actinopteri, Clupeiformes, Engraulidae.